RNAcentral lists this ribosomal RNA (532 nucleotides) under uncultured archaeon. RNAcentral's name for it is "bacterial SSU rRNA". It matches the Rfam family "Archaeal small subunit ribosomal RNA", at positions 462 to 997 of the family's 1478-position model. The record is from RNAcentral.
CAGCCGCGGUAACACCGGCAGCUCUAGUGGUAGCUGUUUAUUGGGCCUAAAGCGUCGUAGCCGGUUUAAUAAGUCUCUGGUGAAAUCCUAUAGCUUAACUGUGGGAAUUGCUGGAGAUACUAUUAGGCUUGAGAUCGGGAGAGGUCAGAGGUACUCCUGGGGUAGGGGUGAAAUCCUGUAAUCCUAGGAGGACCGCCUGUGGCGAAGGCGUCUGACUAGAACGAAUCUGACGGUGAGGAACGAAAGCUAGGGGCGCGAACCGGAUUAGAUACCCGGGUAGUCCUAGCCGUAAACUAUGCGGACUUGGUGUGAGGGUGGCUUUAAGCCGUCCUGGUGCCGAAGGGAAGCUGUUAAGUCCGCCGCCUGGGAAGUACGGUCGCAAGACUGAAACUUAAAGGAAUUGGCGGGGAGCACCACAACGCGUGAAGCCUGCGGUUUAAUUGGAUUCAACGCCGGAGAUCUCACCAGCGGCGACAGCAGUAUGAUGACCAGGUUGAUGACUUUGUUUGACAAGCUGAGAAGUGGUGCAUGG